UGUCACUCAGGAGUUCUCUUGCUAUAUGCCUGGACUAGUUACCUCUUGGGUGGUGCGUACAGGCAUCUUUGGUGACAAUGGCCCUUGGGUACAAAGGCUCUAAGGAAGAGAGAGAAUAGCAUGUGAACUCUUUUGAUGCCCUCACUCAGAAGAGACAUUGAACUCCUUCGGUGGUUCUCAUCAGCAAAAGCUGGUCCAGAGCUCACUGUGGAGCCCAGGCUGGCC
Non-coding RNA from Heterocephalus glaber (naked mole-rat), 225 nucleotides. The record is from RefSeq and is a predicted model, not a curated record. NCBI's taxonomy places the organism in Eukaryota, Metazoa, Chordata, Mammalia, Rodentia, Bathyergidae.